Molecule: long non-coding RNA, 5240 nt
Organism: Pezoporus occidentalis (night parrot)
Lineage: Eukaryota; Metazoa; Chordata; Aves; Psittaciformes; Psittacidae
Exons: 2
Source: RefSeq, a predicted model, not a curated record
GCUGCUUCUAGAGCUGGAAGGCAUUGGGGCUGAAUAGCUACAUCACAUUUAGGGCUCAAGGAAAGGAAAAAAAUCUGCCCAGCUUAACAAACUCAGUGGAAAAUUGGUGAAUUUCUACUUACGAUUACCACAACCUUAUGCAGGAAAAAUACCUUCAGGAAUUAUUUUACUCCUAAAAAAGAAAAGAAAAGACCUACUGCUCCAUAGCUAUUAGAGAGACACAGGUUACUACUUGUUUUGUGUCCCCUUCUGCUCUCUGCUCUUUCACACACUCCUGAAAGUGUUUUCCUCUGUGUCUCUACUGAUGGAGCUUUUCUUUUGUUUUUACUUCUCUGUAGGUGCAGUCCUUUUCCUCAGGAGUGAUAUGACUCUUUCACUAACCACGUUAUAAGGUGACCAUGGUAGUGGGGAGGUGGUGAAGAAUUGUACCACAGGAAUGUCCUUGGGAGUUAGUUGCUCAUGUCUGAGGCCAGUAUGUAAAAUGUCAUCUGUUGUUUCACUGGGUGCUCUGUUGGAGUCACUGAUGCUGAAAUGACUAUACCUUUGUUCCAGUUAAAAAGUUGAAGCAGGAGAAGCCAAGAACAAGGCAUUCUCUUAGAUGGACUCCCCCCCUUCUCAUCCAUAAGUCUCUCUAAGGGAAAAAACUAAAAAAAAAAAGAACAAGAAAAAUGCAAAAAAAUCAGCCUUUCACAAUGACACAUAGCCUGGAAGAAGCUGAGGGAAUUUAAUGUCUGAUUAUGCUGCUCUGGACUGAACUGGAGGGACCCAGGCUUUGCAAAUGCUGCCCUUGAUUCACACAAAGUUAUCAAAUGGUGAAAUACAAGUACCCCAUUCUUUUCCUCUCUGUUGUCACUGUCACAUAGCGAUAUUCCUCCCUUUUCUUGUAACAGCAUCCUACCUAUACCUUUGAAAGAGCUGCCAUGAGUUGUGUCUCUGUAAUGCCCAGGGAGCAAUGGCUCCUAUUCUUCAACCAAAAGCAAAACAAAUUCCCCUUUGUAAAUAAAGUUGAACACACAGUCAUUAUUUCCACCCCUUCUACAUACGUAUUAUAAUGCAAGACGUCACUGUGUGCUAAAUAGUGUUUUCCAAGCCCAAAUACUAGGAUUGCCCAGCUCACCUACCCUCAGCAUAGAAAGGCUAGGUUGUAGGCACCUCUCACUGGCUAUAACUGCAUUAUGCCAUGUGGUGCAAAAUGGCUUCUGCCAGCAGUACUGCAAACUUGCUUUGUCUUAUAGAGAAGCAUUUCUGUAAGAGGUUUGAUGAAUUGUCUUGUAACAUGUGGAUUAAACUAUUGAUUUACCAACAUCCUUUGUAUGUUGACCCAAGAAAACACAGUGGAUGCUAUUUAGAAUAUUACAAACCCUCUGCCAUAUGCAUGUUGUCUAACCUACACUUCAACCCUAUCACCUUUCAGCAGAUUGCUUUAGACAAGAGAUCUCAUGGGCAGGGAAUCUGCAAUGCAUAUAAGCUUACUUGCUCAUUUAAUACAAGAGAGUCCUAGACACUGACCUUGUCUGUAGCUUCCAGCUUGGCAGGGCUGUAGCACCGGGAAGACCUGCAAAUCCCUUUUUAACAAGGCUACCUGAACCCAAUGGCCCAGGUCCAAAGAGAUGAAAACUUGAAGAUGUCCAACAGAUCAGUUGCCUAUAUCGUUAAGUAGAAAAUUGUCUGAUGCCGCACAUACUGGUGUCUGCUUACAUGGUUCAGUACCAGCUCCCAGCAUAACAGCAUGUCUGUUGUCAGCUCCUAAAGCACUAAAUAUAUUGUUACUUCAUUAGUGAACCGUUCAGGGUAUUUUACAUGGUGGGUAUGGAAAUGCAAACAUUUACCCAAGACGUCUCACGAUUUGAACCAAAACCCAUAUUCCAUCAAAAUGGAUUUUUUUUUUAAAUUGUUUGAAAUAUCUAACAGUUUGGCUUUGGGCUGGAAAGCCUAGGAAAAGUCUCCAAGUAAAUGAGAAUGAGUCUCUUUAUCUGUGAUUGCCCCAUGACAUUAUAGGAUGCAAAUGUGUGUAAAUUAAGAAGGUGUUUGGAGAGUGAAUGGGGAAAGGAAGGUGUGCGGCAUCCCAAGCUCGUUUCUGCAGCCCUCCCCAUGAGCCUAGCAAAGAAUAGAGGGGAUCUGGAUAUGGAAGCCCACAUGGUGAGCACCUGGGCACAAUGUGGCAUGCUGAUUUCUUGCAGGAAUUUGCUGCUUCACAAUAGCAACCUUCAUUCAGUUGAGAUCAACGUUUCAAGUAGCUUCAGCAUAAACAGGGCUUGUCCCAUUGUGGUGGAUAUUUCUGAGCUUCUUAAUUGGUUUCAUAACUGUUGUAUGAGCUGUUCCAUGGAAGUGCUACUGUACUUGCACCAACAAGCAAUAUUAAAUUGGAAAAAAAGUAUUAAAGACGCGUUUGGUCUCAGGGAGAAACCAGAUAAUGACUGAGCCUAAACUGCAGUUCAGCAAAACUCUUAUUGAUUAGGGAUUACAGUUUGAUGGAGAAAAAAACAAAGAUCAUUCCCACUUCUGGUUUACCCAGAACAGCAAAGCUCAAGGUAGUGUCAGAUACAAAUGCAUGAGCAAAACUGCUUCACUUUUGUUCUGUCCAUGAAUUGCUUGUGUGUUACAAACUAUAACCAUGUUUUCUUUUGCUGAUCAUAAAGGAGGAAUGACAUGGCAAACUGUAGUAGUUGCAUUUUAAAGCAAUAGCUGAGUAACGUGGCAACAUUGCUUGUCUAUUGUCUAUUGUAUACAUAUUUAAGUAUUUGUGUUCAUGUUUAAGUACUUACAGGACCAGGGACCUCUGCACUGCUCAUAAUUUCCCAUAUAAUAUUUUGUGCUGGCUCAUGCAUGAUGCCACUCAGCUUCUAUGAUGUUAGGUCAAAUGAUGUCAUAUCACAAGAUGUAAUACACCGUGCAAUAUGACAGUCUCUUCAGCUUCUAAACAGAAAGAGACAAGUACUCUUGAAACCUGGAUAUUCUGCUGCAUUGUUAUUUGAAAACUUGGAGUGCCUGUUGACAUAGCAGUCAGUCACAUACUAACACUUCACAUAAAAAUAAUAAAGCACAAAACGUCACCACCCACAAUGGAUACAAUUAAAAUCGUCAUUCUUUUGUUCGCUUUACAUUCAGAUAACUUAAAAACCACACAAGUGAAGUCCCUGAAGAAUCACCGAGAUCUACACCAAAUAAACUCCUCUCAAAUCACCCUCUGAAGCUCAUGGAAGAUGUGCAUCUGUAGGCAUAUCAAAGUGAGGGUUUCCAGACAAAAGCCCUUGCCUAACAAAGCACUGCCUCUGAGCUUGAUAGCUCCAGGACUGACAGCAAGAGCUACUUAGCUACACUUACCUGCGAACGCUGGAGGAGAAAAGUGGCAGAUGUAUAGACAAAGGUGGGGUCCUUCCUAUAGCAGGUUCUGAAAAAAUCAGCAUUAUCACUGACAUAUUGAGAAGUGAUCAGCAAAGGACAGAAAGUGAGUGUGAGAGUGGAAAAUAUGAUCCCUGUGUUUGCAGGAAGCCCCUGACAGGCAGGAAUGGUAGUCGCAUGUGGUUGCUGAUACAAAACCACUGUGUGUAUCUCAACCACACAUAACAAAAGCACCCAAUAAAAGGUGUAAUAGGUGAGGUUUUGUUUGUGGAAUCCUGUUUCUCAGCUGUUUUGUAAUUUAACACAUGCCCAGCAUUGUGGCCUCUAGGCACAGGAAAUGAAACUCAAGAAUGAAAAUCACCAACCUGUGACCAUUUGAGAUUAGAAACACUGCCCAGAAAUUACAUCAAACAUUACCAACAGAAGAAUAAAAUCAGUCAAUCAAACUGUUGCUGGGCAACCAGGAGAUAACUCUCAUCCUAUAGAAGGGAAUUAUACUGCUCCUUUGUCCACUGUUACCAAUAUAAUGAUCUCUGAGCAGGCUCCAGUCUGGCUUUAGCCUUGCAAAUUCUUUUCAUGCACAGAUAUCCUGUACACGAGGACAGACAGGGAGAAUACCAGUGAUGAAAACCACUGUCUGCUAAGUUUUCUGGAAACUAAUGCAAAAGGAUAUUCAAAAGAGAAGUCUAAUGAAAAGAGCUGCUUGCUGUAGUGUAGCUUUCCGGAUCCUUGCUGUUCCCUAGUUAGGAAGAAAAUAAAAUAUUUCUCAGUGUAAGGAGGAAAAGGAUUUUUGAUGGAGAAGGCUGCUUUUUGUCUGGAUUUCAUUCUCUGCUUUUAAGAAUCGGACAGGGUAAAUGAUCUGAUCUCUGUAGGCUGACGGACAAAAAAGAAAAAUUCUACUGAAUCCCAAAUAUCCAUGCUGUACUUCUCAUAAUCACUUGUGAAGUUUUGGUGUGAUAAUCUCUGUCUCUUCUUGAAUGGAUUACCUAAAUACCCUUUGCAAUGGAGAACUCUACCUGGAGAAGCAGAAUGCCUUGUCUCAAAAUAUUGUUCAGAUUUUUAGAUGCUGAAGAUAUUCCUGAAAGAUUAUAAACCUUUUCUUCAAGCAAACCCCAAGUGUGCAUUUCCACCAGCCUUGUUCUUUUCUCGUUGAGAGGUCCUUAUAGAUAAUGUUGGAUGUUCAUCAACCUUUCUGUCCCUAAGAAACAUAAAGAUUCUAAUAAGUUUUUUCUUACUUUACUUCUAUAUAAUUUCUAGUGUUGUUCAAAAUAAUUACUCCUCUCCAUUAACUUCAUAGACAGUUCCUUUGUCUCCUUAUCUUAUUUUUUUUGUUAGGUUUAUGAAUCUUUUAUACCACUGGGAUUUUUAGUGCAUGCAUUUUGCAGCUGUGUUCUCUUCCACCUUCCUUGUAGAACUUGCUGUGACAAUAAAAACAUGGUGGUUUUGUCUCCUGUUCCUCUGUGUGAGCGAUUGGAGCAACUUCUACUAUACAAUUGGCAUCAAUGCUAUUCUGAAAGCUGUAUGUCUGUAUGUCCAUCAUUGUUUGUCCAAGUGAGAAUGAAGUCAAGGUUUGUGUGGUUGAAGGGAACAGCCUAGACGCUAGUGUUCUUGCACGAGAUCAGUUCACAUGGCCCUAGUGCAAUGCUGGCAGGUUUUAUACAGGUAAACCUCCAUUCCUCUAGGAGUUUUUCCAGUUGCAUUGACAAAUGCACCCUGCCACAAAGCCAUUCAGGUCAAGCUUGCACAUUGUGACUGGUUUUGAACUCAAGCCUUUGGUAUUUGAAUGCCUCAACACUAAUCCUGUUUUCAGUUCGGAAAAAAAAAAAAGAAGAGAGAGAAAGAGAAAAAAAAAUUACUAUUUGUUCAUGAUGAUAAUAAAAUCCUAAGUUUUGCUGGUC